RNAcentral lists this ribosomal RNA (253 nucleotides) under uncultured bacterium. Its description in RNAcentral is "partial 16S ribosomal RNA". It matches the Rfam family "Bacterial small subunit ribosomal RNA", at positions 524 to 776 of the family's 1533-position model. The record is from RNAcentral.
UACGAAGGUUGCUAGCGUUGUUCGGAAUUACUGGGCGUAAAGCGCACGUAGGCGGAUUUUCAAGUCAGGGGUGAAAUCCCGGGGCUCAACCUCGGAAUUGCCUUUGAUACUGUCUAUCUUGAGUUCGGGAGAGGUGAGUGGAAUUCCUAGUGUAGAGGUGAAAUUCGUAGAUAUUAGGAAGAACACAAGUGGCGAAGGCGGCUCACUGGCCCGGUACUGACGCUCAUGUGCGAAAGCGUGGGGAGCAAACAGG